ACGUAGGGGACGAGCGUUGUCCGGAUUUACUGGGCGUAAAGGGCGCGUAGGCGGUCAUUUAAGUCAGCUGUGAAAUGGUUUGGCUUAACCGGAUCAUGCGGUUGAAACUGGAUGACUGGAGUGCUGGAGAGGCAAGUGGAAUUCCCAGUGGAGCGGUGGAAUGCGUGGAUAUUGGGAGGAGCAGCGGAGGCCAAGGCGACUUGCUGGCCAGCAUCCGCCGCUGGUGCGCGAAAGCCAGUGGUGGAGUCGG
This 250-nucleotide ribosomal RNA is filed under the name uncultured prokaryote. RNAcentral's name for it is "partial 16S rRNA". It matches the Rfam family "Bacterial small subunit ribosomal RNA", at positions 525 to 775 of the family's 1533-position model. The record is from RNAcentral.